GCCUUCAUGGUGUAAUGGCUAGCACACUCGGCUCGUAUUCGAAAGGUCCGAGGCUCGAUUCCCGGAGAGGGCA
Non-coding RNA from Stegodyphus mimosarum, 73 nucleotides. The record is from Rfam. Lineage: Eukaryota; Metazoa; Arthropoda; Arachnida; Araneae; Eresidae.